RNAcentral lists this long non-coding RNA (259 nucleotides) under Fukomys damarensis (Damara mole-rat). RNAcentral describes it as "lncRNA (ENSFDAG00000032952.1)". Lineage: Eukaryota; Metazoa; Chordata; Mammalia; Rodentia; Bathyergidae. The record is from RNAcentral.
AAAAAAGGACAAGAAAAGUAAGGACACUGCAUCUCUACAUCCGUCCACCUAGCCCAGUAUGGGGAGCACAGAGCUGAGACUGUCGAGUGUCACUUGGAAUGUCACUGGUAGGCUGCUGUCACCUUCUGCUGCCAGCCUGCUCUUGUAAUCAGCCCUCCUCUCUGCCAGGUGAGGAGCAAUUCUGUGACAUCUCUUCCUCCGUCCAUGAACUCUGGAUCAAAGAGUCGCUCUGCCCACUCUGGAGGACAGCGGAUGUUAU